GACGAACGCUGGCGGCGUGCUUAACACAUGCAAGUCGAACGGAAAGGCCCUGCUUUUGUGGGGUGCUCGAGUGGCGAACGGGUGAGUAACACGUGAGUAACCUGCCCUUGACUUUGGGAUAACUUCAGGAAACUGGGGCUAAUACCGGAUAGGAGCUCCUGCUGCAUGGUGGGGGUUGGAAAGUUUCGGCGGUUGGGGAUGGACUCGCGGCUUAUCAGCCUGUUGGUGGGGUAGUGGCUUACCAAGGCUUUGACGGGUAGCCGGCCUGAGAGGGUGACCGGCCACAUUGGGACUGAGAUACGGCCCAGACUCCUACGGGAGGCAGCAGUGGGGAAUAUUGCACAAUGGGCGGAAGCCUGAUGCAGCAACGCCGCGUGCGGGAUGACGGCCUUCGGGUUGUAAACCGCUUUCGCCUGUGACGGAGCGUGAGUGACGGUAAUGGGUAAAGAAGCACCGGCUAACUACGUG
Molecule: ribosomal RNA, 468 nt
Filed under: uncultured bacterium
Lineage: Bacteria
Description: partial 16S ribosomal RNA
Rfam family: Bacterial small subunit ribosomal RNA
Source: RNAcentral